This 492-nucleotide ribosomal RNA is filed under the name uncultured bacterium. RNAcentral's name for it is "partial 16S ribosomal RNA". It matches the Rfam family "Bacterial small subunit ribosomal RNA", at positions 29 to 507 of the family's 1533-position model. The record is from RNAcentral.
AGUGAACGCUGGCGGCAGGCCUAACACAUGCAAGUCGAACGGCAGCACAGUAAGAGCUUGCUCUUACGGGUGGCGAGGGGCGGACGGGUGAGGAAUACAUCGGAAUCUACUUUUUCGUGGGGGAUAACGUAGGGAAACUUACGCUAAUACCGCAUACGACCUACGGGUGAAAGCAGGGGAUCUUCGGACCUUGCGCGAUUGAAUGAGCCGAUGCCGGAUUAGUUAGUUGGGGGGGUAAAGGCCCACCAAGGCGACGAUCCGUAGCUGGUCUGAGAGGAUGAUCGGCCACAGUGGAACUGAGACACGGUCCAGACUCCCAAGGGAGGCAGCAGGAGGGAAUUUUGGGCAAUGGGCGAAAGCCUGACGCAGCAAAGCCGCGUGGGUGAAGAAGGCCUUCGGGUUGGAAAACUCUUUUAUUAGGGAAGAAAAAAGGGGUGAGUAACGCCGCACGUCUUGACGGUACCCAAAAAGAAAGCCACGGCUAACUUCGUG